AUUGAACGCUGGCGGCAUGCUUUACACAUGCAAGUCGGACGGCAGCACAGAGAAGCUUGCUUCUUGGGUGGCGAGUGGCGAACGGGUGAGUAAUAUAUCGGAACGUACCGAGUAAUGGGGGAUAACUAAUCGAAAGAUUACCUAUUACCGCAUAUUCUCUGAGGAGGAAAGCAGGAGACCUUCGGGCCUUGCUUUAUUCACGCGGCCGAUAUCUGAUUAGCUAGUUGGUGGGGUAAAGGCCUACCAAGGCGACGAUCAGUAGCGGGUCUGAGAGGAUGAUCCGCCACACUGGGACUGAGACACGGCCCAGACUCCUACGGGAGGCAGCAGUGGGGAAUUUUGGACAAUGGGCGAAAGCCUGAUCCAGCCAUGCCGCGUGUCUGAAGAAGGCCUUCGGGUUGUAAAGCACUGUUGUCAGGGAAGAAAAGGCUGUUGCUAAUACAGACAGGUGAUGACGGUACCUGAAGAAUAAGCACCGGCUAACUACGUG
Molecule: ribosomal RNA, 490 nt
Filed under: uncultured bacterium
Lineage: Bacteria
Description: partial 16S ribosomal RNA
Rfam family: Bacterial small subunit ribosomal RNA
Source: RNAcentral